GUUAGGAAUAUUGGGCAAUGGUCGGAAGACUGACCCAGCCAUGCCGCGUGCAGGAAGACAGCCCUCUGGGUUGUAAACUGCUUUUAUCUGGGAAGAAAAAGGCCAUGCGUGGCAAAUUGCCGGUACCAGAUGAAUAAGCACCGGCUAACUCCGUGCCAGCAGCCGCGGUAAUACGGAGGGUGCGAGCGUUGUCGGGAUUUAUUGGGUUUAAAGGGUGCGUAGGCGGCUGAUUAAGUCAGCGGUGAAAGACUUCGGCUUAACCGGAGCAGUGCCGUUGAUACUGGUUGGCUUGAGUGUCGGAGGGGUACAUGGAAUUGAUGGUGUAGCGGUGAAAUGCAUAGAUACCAUCAGGAACACCGAUAGCGAAGGCAUUGUACUGGCCGACAACUGACGCUGAUGCACGAAAGUGUGGGGAUCAAACAGGAUUAGAAACCCCGGUAGUCC
RNAcentral lists this ribosomal RNA (444 nucleotides) under uncultured bacterium. RNAcentral's name for it is "partial 16S ribosomal RNA". It matches the Rfam family "Bacterial small subunit ribosomal RNA", at positions 354 to 796 of the family's 1533-position model. The record is from RNAcentral.